AGUUGGAUUCACGUUUUAGACGAGCUCAGGUUCUUUGCUGUUAGCAGGUUUCUAUAGAUGCCACAGAAAGCGUGUUAUUAAGGCAGAUGAAAGGCCAAGGAACGAGUUUGCUGUGCUUGUGCAUGCCCAUGGGGUAAGCUUUCUGCCCCUCCCCCAGGUUUUUUUGGGUUUGGUGUUUUUUGUUUUUUUUUUUUUUUAAUUUUAUUGGAUCCAUCCUGCAUCAAAGUGGCUUCAAGAAGCGAGCGAGCUCCCCAGAAGGGCCCUGCCAUGGUGGUGAUGGAGCGAAACCACAAAGUGUUUCACCGCUUGUGAAGUCCCGGGCUGAUGGCUGGGCCGAGCCAAGCUGGCAGGUUCAUCUUGGGCUUCCUGCAGCCUUGUUCUUCUACCAAAAAAAAAAAAAAAAAAAAAGAAGGAAAAGGCAGCCCCCCCGCCCCUCCCCUUCUCCUCCCCGGAGCCUCCUCCACCUGCCCCGUGCACUUGCUGACUUGUGCAUUCCUCCUUCCACAUGUUAUAAAGAUUAAUCGCUCCAGUUGGAGCUCGGUGUGACUGGGCAAGGCGAGACAUUCCUCUGUUGACAUAUUGCUGCUUUUGACUAAGGGAAGCCAGAGGUUUUGAGCUCACCCCGGCCAGUCCGCAUGUGGGCAAGCUCCUCGGGGUGUUUGGCCACCUCUUGUCUCGGGCACGAAGGGGACUGAGCCCCCCCUGGGCACGACGCGGUCCCUGGCAGGAGGGAUUUCUGUUUGCAGGAUGCGCGGCUGCCUCUUGCUGUUGCAGAUCCCAUGGUUUUGCUCUGGAGACCAAAGGGACAGCCAGGUCCUUUGGUGGCGGUGGUCUGGGCAGGUUUGGAGAUCACAGAAUGAUGGAAUAGUUUAGGUUGGAAGGGACCUUAAAGGUCAUCUAGUCUAACCCCAGAUAAACAUGACUCUUUGCUUUCUGCCUCAGGAAUGGGAAAGCGUUGCUGUGCCGUAGGGCAGGAGUGGCUGCGUUUGGGCAGCGGAGAAAGCAACAUCUCUGUAGGACAGUGGGGAGCCUUGGUGGAACCAUGGUCAAGGGUCUUGGGUCUGCUGCUGCCAUGGUGGGCUGUCCUCUGGGCUGGCUUCUGCUGGCUUUGCCAGUGCUGGAGGCAGCUCUGCCUUUGUCCAUGCUUAGCGUCAUAGAGUCAUAGAACGUGUUGGGUUGGAAGGGACCUCUAAAGGCCAUCUCGUCCAACCCCCUGCAGUCAGCAGCGACAUCUGUAACUAGAUCAGGUUGCUCAGAGCCUCAUCCAGCCUGGCCUUGAAUGUCUCCAGGGAUGGGGCCUCCACCCCCUCUCUGGGCAACCUGGGCCAGUGUCUCACCACCCUCAGUGUACAGAACUUCUUCCUCAUGUCUGAUCUGAACCUGCCCUGCUCUAGUUUAAACCAUUGCCCCUCGUCCUGUCGCUACAGGCCCUUGCAAACAGCCCCUCCCCAGCUUUCCUGGAGCCCCUUUAGGGACUGGAAGGGGCUGGAAGGUCUCCCCGGAGCCUUCUCUUCUCCAGGCUGAACCCCCCCAGCUCUCUCAGCCUGUCCCCACAGCAGAGGGGCUCCAGCCCUUCAAUCAUCUUUGUGGCCUCCUCUGGACCCAGAGUCGCUGCUGGAGCUCUCAAGCACCUCACACCCUGGGGAGCUUUUGGCUGAGCGCACGUACCCUCUCUCCAGACCCAAAUCAAUCUCACAACCAUACCAGAUCUUCCUUCAGGUCCAUCCCCUUACCAUCUCCAGCCCUAAAGAGAGGAAUGUGGCUCCUGCCUUGCCCAGCUCCAACCGGGCACAGGGAGAGACGGGAGAGGCUGCGGCAGAGCUUCGGGAGAGACGAGGUUUUCCUCGGGGCUUCCUCUGGGUGUUUCUGCACCACCUCGUGCCGUCCUCUCCUCUGCACGUCGGCCCCGAGCUGGGAAGGCAGGGCUGGAGGCUGCGAGGUCAAACCUCAGAGGGACGGCUGUGUGUUGGGAAGACCAUCAUCUCCCACCUCUCAGACCAUCUCCCGCCUCUUGUGGCCUUCUGAAGACGCGCAUCACUUUGUGAAGAGCUCGGCCUCUGCGUGCAGCCGGGCGCCUGCGUUUGGAGGCAGAUAUUGCUCACGGAAGACUCCGGGGAUUUUUUUUGCAACCGUGAGAUGCGCUUGCCUCCAUCCCGCUCGUUUCCCGAUGGAGCGCUAGUUUGCAUCGCAGUUUGGGCUCAGGAUGCAAAUCCCAUGACUCCUCUCGUUAACGUGGCGAUCUGGGCCCAUGGCGGAGCUGGUAUCUCUGUGCUCGAGUGACUUGAGCAGCUCCUGUGUGUGUGUGUGAAGACAGUUACAGGGCCAGGCAGCGUUCCUGCUUCCGUGCCUUCUGUAAACACCUCGGGGGUCUAAUGCAAUUCCUGGCUGCCAUCACUCCUCUGCUCCGCUCGAGGAACUGCCUGGAAAGACGGCGAUAAUCGUACGGGUUUUGCUGGACUGAUGCGUGCUGGGACAGGCUCAGCUUGGAAAUGGGGACUGUUGGAGCCAGCGGCAGCAGGAUGACGGGAGAUGCUGCCAUUGGCCCUGCACCAGCCACAGUCCCGGGGGACUCCUCCAGCUGGGACCAAAAACCGCCUCCGCAGAGGUGGGGAUAUUUCGGGAGGUCAGCUCCUGGCUCUCCUUCUCCGGGUGACCCCAAAUGAGACCUUUGCAGCACCUCAAUCUUGGAGAAGAGGGUUUGCCGUCCACCUCUGAAGAGCUUUCAGCCACCAUCAUACCUCCACGCUGGGAGGCCCCAGCUCCUGCUCCCACACCAGGCUACGGACACCCAGAGAUGGGGGCUCCUGCCCCACGGUGCCAUCCAAACCUGCAAAACCUGGGGAAAGGAAGGGAAGGUGGCGAGUGCUGGACCAGAAGCUGUAGGGACUCGUCCACGGGGCUCUGCCCUGUCCAGAAGCAGCAGGAAUUUCUGUCCACGGCUCUGGGCCCCGAAGCGUUCCUCGCCGUGCUGCCUGUCGCCGACACCCCCGCCAUAACGCAUCCCGAACGUGGCCUCCAUGAGGGACACACACGACGACGUCCUUGCGGCGCGGUGGCUGCUGGCAGCGCGCCAGCUAGCUGGGAUUAACGCCCUGCUUGCAAGCGUGGGUGAUGCUCGGGGGCGACCUUGAAGGAACGGGAGUCUGCACCCCCGGGGCAGCGGGAUUUUGGGGUGUGGGUGGCCCCGAGCGGCUCAGCAUCGCUGGGAGCACCGGGGUUCAUGCUCUGCACGUGUGGCCGGGGCGAGCCGGCUGCGACGUCCCGGGUUGUGCUGUCUCUCCGUGCCUUCUCCAGCUCGACCGCACCGUCCUGCCCGUCCAGUCUGGGGCUCCGUGGCUAAAACCGCUCCAGGAGAAGAUCUAGGAAAAGGCCAGCCUGGUUUCACCGCCAUCUCCUCCUCCUCCUCGCGCUGAAGUCGUCGUAGUUUCAGGAACCUGCCACCUUCAAGACCUCACCCAGCUCCACCAAAACCUGGGGCCGAAAUUGUCCCAUCUCUCUGCGUUUCCCACCCAGACGCCCCGACAUGGCCACGGGGAUGAAACCUGGGAGACCCAAGGGCCG
Long non-coding RNA from Chroicocephalus ridibundus (black-headed gull), 3561 nucleotides. RefSeq lists it as uncharacterized. NCBI's taxonomy places the organism in Eukaryota, Metazoa, Chordata, Aves, Charadriiformes, Laridae. The record is from RefSeq and is a predicted model, not a curated record. The transcript is spliced from 5 exons.